UACGUAGGUGGCAAGCGUUGUCCGGAUUUACUGGGCGUAAAGAGCGCGCAGGCGGUCGUCCAAGUCGAGUGUGAAAGCCCCCGGCUCAACUGGGGAGGGUCACUCGAUACUGAUCGACUCGAAGGCAGAAGAGGGAAGCGGAAUUCCCGGUGUAGUGGUGAAAUGCGUAGAUAUCGGGAGGAACACCAGUGGCGAAGGCGGCUUUCUGGUCUGCUCUUGACGCUGAGGCGCGAAAGCUAGGGUAGCAAACGGG
This 253-nucleotide ribosomal RNA is filed under the name uncultured Acidobacteriota bacterium. Its description in RNAcentral is "uncultured Acidobacteria bacterium partial 16S ribosomal RNA". It matches the Rfam family "Bacterial small subunit ribosomal RNA", at positions 524 to 776 of the family's 1533-position model. Lineage: Bacteria; Pseudomonadati; Acidobacteriota. The record is from RNAcentral.